This 400-nucleotide ribosomal RNA is filed under the name uncultured bacterium. RNAcentral describes it as "bacterial SSU rRNA". It matches the Rfam family "Bacterial small subunit ribosomal RNA", at positions 358 to 775 of the family's 1533-position model. The record is from RNAcentral.
GGAAUAUUGCACAAUGGGGGAAACCCUGAUGCAGCGACGCCGCGUGAGUGAAGAAGCGCCUCGGCGCGUAAAGCUCUGUCAGCAGGAACGACGAUGACGGUACCUGAAGAAGAAGCCCCGGCUAACUACGUGCCAGCAGCCGCGGUAAUACGUAGGGGGCAAGCGUUAUCCGGAAUGACUGGGCGUAAAGGGUGCGUAGGUGGUUUGACAAGUUAGUAGCGCAACUCCGGAGCUCAACUUCGGAACUACUACUAAAACUGUUGAACUUGAGUGCAGGAGGGGCAAUCGGAAUUCCUAGUGUAGCGGUGGAAUGCGUAGAUAUUAGGAGGAACACCAGUGGCGAAGGCGGAUUGCUAGACUGUAACUGACACUGAGGCACGAAAGCGUGGGGAGCAAACAG